UGGUCAAGCUACAAAGGGCUCACGGUGGAUACCUUGGCACACAGAGGCGAUGAAGGACGUGGUUACCUGCGAUAAGUCUCGGGGAGCUGGAAACACGCUUUGAUCCGGGAAUUUCCGAAUGGGGCAACCCCUAGAACGGCCGCCUGAAUCCAUAGGGCGGUGCGAGCCAACCCAGCGAACUGAAACAUCUUAGUAGCGGAGAAA
This 204-nucleotide ribosomal RNA is filed under the name uncultured Synechococcus sp. RNAcentral's name for it is "partial 23S ribosomal RNA". It matches the Rfam family "Bacterial large subunit ribosomal RNA", at positions 1 to 218 of the family's 2925-position model. The record is from RNAcentral. Lineage: Bacteria; Bacillati; Cyanobacteriota; Cyanophyceae; Synechococcales; Synechococcaceae.